RNAcentral lists this long non-coding RNA (311 nucleotides) under Salvia miltiorrhiza (redroot sage). Its description in RNAcentral is "long non-coding RNA (SMIL_LNC000373)". Lineage: Eukaryota; Viridiplantae; Streptophyta; Magnoliopsida; Lamiales; Lamiaceae. The record is from RNAcentral.
UUCCCUCUUGCUGGAUUACAAAAUGGGAUCCAAACCAAGAAAAAUAUUUGGUGCAAAAUAUAAGAAAAAUAUGAGACAAGAAUUUUUACGUGGAAAACCCAAAUUGGGAAAAACCACGAGACCGUAGUGUAGAAAUCUUCCACUAUGUAUAUAGUAGGCUUACAAAAAAUUCUCCCUACACAAAAUAGGGGAAACACAAAUCUCAAGUUUAAUAACUUGGAAAACACAAGAGGACUGAGCUACUAUUUUAAGAGAGAUGAAAAAUCCUAUGAUUUUUCCUCACAAUUUUCUUCUCUCAAAAGCACUCACCA